UACGGAGGGUGCGAGCGUUGUCCGGAAUCACUGGGCGUAAAGGGCGCGUAGGCGGCUCAUGAAGGCUGUGGUGAUAGUCCGGGGCUCAACCUCGGAUCGGCCGUGGCGACUCGUGGGCUGGAGCACUGUAGAGGCGGGUGGAAUUCCGGGUGUAGCGGUGGAAUGCGUAGAGAUCCGGAAGAACACCAGUGGCGAAGGCGGCCCGCUGGGCAGUGGCUGACGCUGAAGCGCGACAGCGUGGGGAGCAAACAGG
RNAcentral lists this ribosomal RNA (253 nucleotides) under uncultured bacterium. RNAcentral describes it as "partial 16S ribosomal RNA". It matches the Rfam family "Bacterial small subunit ribosomal RNA", at positions 524 to 776 of the family's 1533-position model. The record is from RNAcentral.